Molecule: long non-coding RNA, 1063 nt
Filed under: Urocitellus parryii (Arctic ground squirrel)
Lineage: Eukaryota; Metazoa; Chordata; Mammalia; Rodentia; Sciuridae
Description: lncRNA (ENSUPAG00010023012.1)
Source: RNAcentral
UGUUUCUUAACCUAUUCAUAAAAUCUGCAGCAGUCCUAUAAAAUAUAUUUGUAUGCAAUUGUCAAUUGAAGGAAUUCAGUGAAAAAAAGUUAAUUUUUGUAUGGUUGGUUGCUCUGUAUAUUUUUCAGGGUAAGAUAGGUUCUCUGAUUAAGUAUCCUUAAACCUUAGUGAUGCAAAACAAUAGAAGUUUAUUUCCUGUUCAUUUUGGCCAGAACUCAGGCACAUGGCCACAUCUAACAGCAGGAAGGCUCGGAAAUAGAGUUAGCUAUGUGAUGACUGUGGAUCAAAGGAAAGGGCCACAUCAUGUUUGCCAGGUUCAGACAGUUUUUCUCCUAGUGCCGUGUCCAGGCCAUCUGUCAUCAGAAUGCUAAGCUGAUUAAAAAUGCGGAUCCUGAAGCCUCACCCCAGACUUGCAAAUCCAAAAGCCUAAGGAGCAUUCAUUUUAUCAAGCUUGCAAGGUGAUACUUCUGCAUUUUCAAGUUUGAAAACUGUUGGAUUCCAAAUGAGCCAUGUUGGGGCUCAGAGCUGAUACCCCAAGGUGCUGAGCACUCUGGGCUGAAGGACACUGAAAGGUCUCAGAAGCGAGGUCUCUCUGACCUCCCACCCUCUGGUCUCCUGUACCUCCAGCCCAAAGAGCAAGGCUUAGAAACUCUUCUUGGUACACGUCUUUCCCAGGAAGACUUCCUUUUACAAAAGGGCAGCUUUGCCAAGCUGCUCCUGUGUCUGCAGUUUCUCAAAAUAACCAGCUGGAGACAGUCACUAUACCGAGGAGGUUGAUUUUAGGGUGGAAUACUCUCUCUCCUCGGUCACAUUUUGGGGUGGUAGGUUUUGCCCUACCAUAGACAUUUUUUUUUUGCUAAUCCCCUUAAAUCUCAUAAUAGACGCACAAGUAGACACCAUGCAUCCUCUUCACAGAGGAGUUUUGUCUUGAAGAGGUCCUGACUUGCCGGGGGUCCGAGGCUCCCAUGUGGCAGGAGGAGGACUGAGUUCAGGAGGCCUGACGGGGAUCCCAGGGCUGUGCCAGAAUGGAGUCAGAUUCACGUGGUUAGACUCCAUCCUCGAC